This is a long non-coding RNA of Callithrix jacchus (white-tufted-ear marmoset), 1865 nucleotides long. RefSeq lists it as uncharacterized. Lineage: Eukaryota; Metazoa; Chordata; Mammalia; Primates; Cebidae. The record is from RefSeq and is a predicted model, not a curated record.
CUCAAUGGCUUCAGCUCUGACUAUGAAGUACAUAAGCAAACAAAUAUAAUAAUAGCAGUUAAAUUCUGGUGGAGAAUUUUUGGGGUGCCACAAGCCUGAGACCAAACAAAUUUCCAUUUUCAACAAGAACAAAAUUAAGAUAACAGAUAAAAGCCAGCUACAAAAUCUCAUUGAGGGUCUUUUUGUUUUCAACUAUAAAUGAGUAUUUAUUUUACAACUUGGGCACUGUUCCAGACACAAGGGAUACAGAUGUGAACAAGACAAAUAACAUCGUCUUAGAGUGGACAAACGGAAAGUAAACCAGAUGGAAGUGAGUUCUAUAAAGAAAACAGAACAUGGUAAUCUGAUGGAGAGAUACAAGAAGUGGAUGAUGGAGCUACUUUAAAUAGAGUGGGUUUGGAAUAUUUCCCCAGGAUCCCGGUUCUCAGCACUAACUUCCUUGAGCUGUUUGACUCACUGCUACACAAAGGAACCUCAGAAGAACAAGUCUGUUGAAACUAGGCAAUAAUCAACUAGAGAAGAACAAAACCAGUCUGAUCAGAAAUGGCUCAUUAUGGGUAAACGGAGAAGUCAAAGCUGAAGCACAUUUUGGCCCGAGGAGCCAUUUUCCAAUUGUUUUCAAGCUCAAGGACACACAGUAACUAAAGAUUUGGAUAAUUCUGAUUCGGAAGAUUUCUGGGACAACUGAAGUUGAAUGGUAAACUUCUCAUGCUAUAAAACAUUGAAAAAUGGAAGUGAAACAUCAAGAAGUAAAGUCAACCGUGUGAAUAGUAGGUUUCAAAAGAAGCUAAGUAAACACUUUUACCUUUAGAGCUUCUUCAGGGACCCUCAUUUCUCCUUGUACUACAGUAAAAAGAUUUGUAUGUAAAUGGGGCUAAGGAAGAAUAUAAUCUCAAACUUCUGGUAAUUGAGCUAAAAAUGGUCAUCAAAUAUAAUUUAGAAAUUGUUGUAUUUCAACAGGUAAUUAUAGCAGAAUUAUUAUAUUUCCCCUGAAGAAUUAAAUAUUAAAAUAUGCUCACAAAUUCAUUUUAAAGUAGUGAAAAUCUUAAGAUCCAGCACAUUUUCUAAUUUUAAGUAAUGGUGGCCCUAAAGAAGCAAACAACUGGGUAAUUAAUCACAGCACAGACAUUUUCAAUUUUCCUUAACAAUAAUAUAACUACAAUGAAGAAAGAGUACAUGAUUACAUUAACAGCAAAUCACAAAAAUGUAAAGAAGUAUCUCAUCAAUGAUUAACCAACAGCAAUCCUAAAAGAAUUUGAUUACUCAGACUUCAUAGGUAUUGAUAAAAAUGAAGUUCAUUUCACAAGUGCAGAAGAAACGCUAUAAUUAGGGUCCAUACAGCAGCAACAACCAUGACCAUCCCCAUGAUUGCAAUCAAGGUCACAUUACAUUAUCAAACAAUGAGUUCUAUACGAAGAUUAGAUUAGAACCAAGUGCUAGAUAUAAUGAAUGCUUUCAUUAUUAAGCCAAAAAGAACAAUGCCUCUGUAUAUUAAAAAGAUCUAUUCACUAAAGAGUAGAGGUCACAUUUCCCACCAUUACUUAACUCUGUAAUGAAAGGACUUUUAUAACCAUGUACUAAAUUCUAUUCUUUACGAGUUCAGAGCACCCAUGACUUCAAGUGUAGAAAGCUGUAAUUAUCAUGACUACUUGGGGGGAAAAGAUGACUUCCCAAGCAUAAAGGAAGUAAUAAACUCGUUAGUGAGUAUUUACUCUAUGUUUCUACUUGUUAAAAUAAUAAAAAUUCAGAAUUGUAAAUAAUUAUAAAGAGCUUUGGGAAAUAUUCUGUUCAAUUCCAUUAAUCCUUCCUGUUUCAUAAAUAAAGAACUUGGAUAGUGGACAGAAAGCAAAACAAGAGUCUAGUCA